UAGGGAAUCUUCGGCAAUGGGGGGAACCCUGACCGAGCAACGCCGCGUGUGUGAAGAAGGUUUUCGGAUCGUAAAGCUCUGUUGUUAAGGAAGAACGAGUGUGAGAAUGGAAAGUUCAUGCUGUGACGGUACUUAACCAGAAAGGGACGGCUAACUACGUGCCAGCAGCCGCGGUAAUACGUAGGUCCCGAGCGUUGUCCGGAUUUAUUGGGCGUAAAGCGAGCGCAGGCGGUUAGAUAAGUCUGAAGUUAAAGGCAGUGGCUCAACCAUUGUAGGCUUUGGAAACUGUUUAACUUGAGUGCAGAAGGGGAGAGUGGAAUUCCAUGUGUAGCGGUGAAAUGCGUAGAUAUAUGGAGGAACACCGGUGGCGAAAGCGGCUCUCUGGUCUGUAACUGACGCUGAGGCUCGAAAGCGUGGGGAGCGAACAGG
This 429-nucleotide ribosomal RNA is filed under the name Bacteroidota bacterium. RNAcentral describes it as "Bacteroidetes bacterium partial 16S ribosomal RNA". It matches the Rfam family "Bacterial small subunit ribosomal RNA", at positions 355 to 776 of the family's 1533-position model. Lineage: Bacteria; Pseudomonadati; Bacteroidota. The record is from RNAcentral.